Molecule: ribosomal RNA, 446 nt
Filed under: uncultured bacterium
Lineage: Bacteria
Description: partial 16S ribosomal RNA
Rfam family: Bacterial small subunit ribosomal RNA
Source: RNAcentral
CCUACGGGCGGCAGCAGUCGAGAAUCUUUCACAAUGGGGGAAACCCUGAUGGUGCGACGCCGCGUGGGGGAAUGAAGUUCUUCGGAUUGUAAACCCCUGUCAUGUGGGAGCAAAUGAAAAAGAUAGUACCACAAGAGGAAGAGACGGCUAACUCUGUGCCAGCAGCCGCGGUAAUACAGAGGUGUCAAGCGUUGUUCGGAAUCACUGGGCGUAAAGCGUGCGUAGGCUGUUUCGUAAGUCGUGUGUGAAAGGCGCGGGCUCAACCCGCGGACGGCACAUGAUACUGCGAGACUAGAGUGAUGGAGGGGGAAGUGGAAUUCUCGGUGUAGCAGUGAAAUGCGUAGAUAUCGAGAGGAACACUCGUGGCGAAGGCGGGUUCCUGGACAUUAACUGACGCUGAGGCACGAAGGCCAGGGGAGCGAAAGGGAUUAGAUACCCUUGUAGUC